RNAcentral lists this unclassified non-coding RNA (314 nucleotides) under Bartonella sp. F. RNAcentral's name for it is "partial 16S-23S ribosomal RNA intergenic spacer". The record is from RNAcentral. Lineage: Bacteria; Pseudomonadati; Pseudomonadota; Alphaproteobacteria; Hyphomicrobiales; Bartonellaceae.
GGAGGUUCAAGUCCUCCCAGGCCCACCAAUUUAUCUAUCCAUUUGCCUUUAUCCGUUUAUUUGCUGUUUUAUCGGUCCGUUUGUUAAGUGUUGGCAACAGUUUUUGUAAUGAUGAAAAACAGUCCUGCUUAUAUAAAGACCUACUUAUAAAAGGCUUGUUUUUAAAAUGUGACGCUUAUCCAUUCCGCUUAGGCAAGAGAAACUUCAGGCGGUUCAAACGCAGAACGCUUUGAAUUUUGUAAAACAAUUUGCGUUUUGAAGUGAUUCAAGUUCGUGAUUUCGACUUAAAAGUUUCGAAUGCUUUAUCCUUUUAG